Molecule: ribosomal RNA, 281 nt
Filed under: uncultured Actinomycetales bacterium
Lineage: Bacteria; Bacillati; Actinomycetota; Actinomycetes; Actinomycetales
Description: partial 16S ribosomal RNA
Rfam family: Bacterial small subunit ribosomal RNA
Source: RNAcentral
UGUGCCAGCCGCCGCGGUAAUACGUAGGGUGCAAGCGUUGUCCGGAAUUAUUGGGCGUAAAGAGCUCGUAGGCGGUUUGUCGCGUCUGCUGUGAAAUCCCGAGGCUCAACCUCGGGCUUGCAGUGGGUACGGGCAGACUAGAGUGCGGUAGGGGAGAUUGGAAUUCCUGGUGUAGCGGUGGAAUGCGCAGAUAUCAGGAGGAACACCGAUGGCGAAGGCAGAUCUCUGGGCCGUAACUGACGCUGAGGAGCGAAAGCAUGGGGAGCGAACAGGAUUAGAUA